AUUCUGUUCAACACACACAGAUCAAUUAUAAUCUGAAAUAGGGAAAAAAAAAAUUCAAAUUUUCCUUAGAAUAUCACAAAUUAAUCACUUUUGUUGCAUUCAACUCAAUGCUUAAAAAAGCAACAUUAUGGUCUUCCUUGCAAAUAGAAUGCCCCUAUUUAUUUAUUUCACAGCAGUAUGCAUACAAUGGUGGCAUAGCCAUUUCUACAUUUUGAAAGAAAUUGGAUAUUGCCACCUCGUCAAGUCUCCAAAAUGAUAAAACUAAAAAAUGAUUAUAAUGUAAUCAACUAAUAUGCAGCAGCAGCAGCGGCAACUGCUCACCAUUAGUAAAAUUUGCCUAGAUUUUCCCAAGCCAAACCCAGUCUACAGUUAUGGCCAGGCUGGAUUUCCACCAUAGACUUAAUGGUACCUACCAGUCCAGUUUGAUUGCUGGCUUAAUCAAAGACCCAGUGGAUUACCAACACAUUUUUUAUCAAUUCUCAUGAAAAUGAAAAACUAGUAUCAUAAAUAGUAAAUUUAUUUAAACAUUACAGGUGUAUAUUUUA
This 545-nucleotide unclassified non-coding RNA is filed under the name Hevea brasiliensis (rubber tree). The record is from RNAcentral. Lineage: Eukaryota; Viridiplantae; Streptophyta; Magnoliopsida; Malpighiales; Euphorbiaceae.